CCAUGGCCCCAUAAAAGUAGAGAAACUCUAUUAAGCAGAUUGGAAGUACUUGACACAAUUAUAUAUUCUGAAAUGAAAAGGCAGGCUCGCUGACCCUGGCUCAGUGGAGACUUAGGGACCACAAAUUUGAUCAGAAGCUCUCAGCUACUGCUCUUGAACUGUGCCUGCCUGCGUACCCUACCACCAUAUUCUUGACCAUGCUGGUCAUGGAGUCUCCCACUAAAGCUGUAAGCAAGCCUCCAGCUGCAGACAAAGUGAGAAGCCAGCCCAAGAAGAAAAGCUGGGAGGAUAGAGGC
Molecule: long non-coding RNA, 296 nt
Organism: Mus musculus (house mouse)
Lineage: Eukaryota; Metazoa; Chordata; Mammalia; Rodentia; Muridae
Product: predicted gene, 42304
Exons: 3
Source: RefSeq, a predicted model, not a curated record